Long non-coding RNA from Leptopilina boulardi, 981 nucleotides. RefSeq lists it as uncharacterized. The record is from RefSeq and is a predicted model, not a curated record. The transcript has 2 exons. NCBI's taxonomy places the organism in Eukaryota, Metazoa, Arthropoda, Insecta, Hymenoptera, Figitidae.
AUUAAAUAAUAAAUAUCGAAUAAAAUAAUUAUUUAUUUAUUUUUUACUUUGUAGAAAUCAAAAGAAUUGUUUAAAAAUUAAAAUUACAUUUUAAUUUUUUAAACAAUUCAAUAAUGAUGGAUUAUUCUUUUAUGGACCAAAGAUAUAUUGAUUUUUAUAGGGAAAAAAAAAAUAGAAAUUCGAGGCAAUUCGCGAUUUAAAAAAACAGCUUCCUUUUUUAGAUUAAGAUCAACAUUUAAUUUCUUUUAUUUAAAAUAUAGGCAAAGGAUGAAGAAGAUUUUUUAAUGUAGGACGUUUGCCUCUUUCUUAGAAAUCUAAUCAAUUAUCCUGGUUUUAUAAAAUGAUAUAAAAUUUAUUACAUCAUUUUCCACUUAAUUUUGUUAAUCAUUAUAAAUUAAAUUUUCAAUUUUUAUAAAUAUUAUAAAAUAAUAUUUUAGUUUUUAAAAAUAAUUUUGAAAUUUAAAUUUACUUUUUGAAAAUAGAAAUUAGUCAUUAAAAAAUAACUAUAUAAAAUUUUGUAUAAAAUUAUAUUAUAAAAUUUUUUUUGAACUAUUUUACUGCCAAAGAAAUUAUUAAUUUUCAGUUGGAUUCCUGUUUGGAAAAUGACUCCCAACGAGACAUCAUCAAAAAAUUUAUGGAGGCGCUGAUAAUAAACAAUUAAUAAAAAAAAACAGAAAUUAAUGUUUCCUGUACACUUCAAAUUUGAAUUUUACCAUCGGUAAACAGGAAAAAGUUUUUAAAUCCAUCACCAACAAAAUGCUGACAGACAAUAUAUUUUUGGAAAAAACCAAAAGGAAAAUAAAUUAUUAUAUUUUGUAAAAAAAAAAAAUGUUUAACUGAUAUUUUGUAUAAUUAAUAUUUUUAAAAAUAUAUUUAUUCAAUUAUAUGUAUUAAAAUAUGAAACUAAUACAAUUAAAAAAAAUUUUAAUUGAAAAAAAUUGUAAUUUAAAAAAAAUAAUAAUUAAAUUGUUUUUAAUUAUA